This 468-nucleotide ribosomal RNA is filed under the name Veillonella dispar. Its description in RNAcentral is "bacterial SSU rRNA". It matches the Rfam family "Bacterial small subunit ribosomal RNA", at positions 337 to 796 of the family's 1533-position model. Lineage: Bacteria; Bacillati; Bacillota; Negativicutes; Veillonellales; Veillonellaceae. The record is from RNAcentral.
UCCUACGGGAGGCAGCAGUGGGGAAUCUUCCGCAAUGGACGAAAGUCUGACGGAGCAACGCCGCGUGAGUGAUGACGGCCUUCGGGUUGUAAAGCUCUGUUAAUCGGGACGAAAGGCCUUCUUGCGAACAGUGAGAAGGAUUGACGGUACCGGAAUAGAAAGCCACGGCUAACUACGUGCCAGCAGCCGCGGUAAUACGUAGGUGGCAAGCGUUGUCCGGAAUUAUUGGGCGUAAAGCGCGCGCAGGCGGAUAAGUCAGUCUGUCUUAAAAGUUCGGGGCUUAACCCCGUGAUGGGAUGGAAACUGCCAAUCUAGAGUAUCGGAGAGGAAAGUGGAAUUCCUAGUGUAGCGGUGAAAUGCGUAGAUAUUAGGAAGAACACCAGUGGCGAAGGCGACUUUCUGGACGAAAACUGACGCUGAGGCGCGAAAGCCAGGGGAGCGAACAGGAUUAGAUACCCUGGGUAGUCC